This is a non-coding RNA of Elaeis guineensis (African oil palm), 2191 nucleotides long. NCBI's taxonomy places the organism in Eukaryota, Viridiplantae, Streptophyta, Magnoliopsida, Arecales, Arecaceae. The record is from RefSeq and is a predicted model, not a curated record.
CCCAAUAUCCAUAAAUUCUUCCAAUAAUAAUAAUGAGAUAGGUUGAUUUUUAUCUACAAAAAUUGCCUCCCAUCCGACAUCGCUAGGGUUCCAACUAAAUUGUGAGGAGGCGUAGUUCAGAAAUUGUGAAGGUGGCUGAAAAAUAACAGGCAGAGAAUUAUGCCGGCCAGCACGAAGAGGAAGGAGAGGGUGCCGGGAUCGAAAUCCGAGGCACCUUCCGGCCGACGAGGCGGCGGAGAUGGUCCGGAUCUAAUCAGCCUCCUGCCGGACGACCUCCUCUCCUCCAUCCUCUCCCUGCUCCCCAUCAAAGACUCCGCUCGGACCAGCGUCCUCUCCACACGGUGGCGCCACCUCUGGACCACCGCUUCCCUCCACCUAGACAGCGACCACCUCCACCGCAACAAAAGACCCAGUGCUUCCUGGACGCCGCGCCACCAGGAGGCCUGGCGCGCCCGUGCCAUCGACCAGAUCCUCUCCGUCCAUUGCGGACCCAUCCCCACCAGCCAUCUCUCCGGGUAUUUCCUCGACAACCCCACCAACGUCGAUACCUGGCUCGAAAUCCUCACCCGAAAAGGCAUCCGAGACCUCUCCUUCUUCUGCCAUUACGAACGCCGCUUCGUCGAGGACGCCGAGGAGCAGCAGUGCUUCUACCGCUUGCCCUCUUCCCUUCUCACCUGCAACUCUUUGAUAACCUUGAAGCUUACGAAUUGCCAAUUACCAGAACUUCCGCGAUCCGUUCCCGCCUUCGUUAACCUCAGAAACCUAUUCAUGCAAUUCACCGCCCUAUGCGACGGCACCUUCCACGACCUGCUUUCCUACUGCCGGUCCCUCCAGCACGUAGCUUUGAUCCACUGCACGGGCCUUCGCAGCCUCCAUGUCCGCUCUCGGAGUCUCGACAGCUUGGUGCUGAAGUGCUCGUCUCCGGACUACACUGACUCGGUCGAGGAGCUCAUCAUCGAAGACGCCCCCAAUUUCAGGUGCUUGAUGCUCCGCGAGAACGCGUUGGAGUAUUUGCAGGUGGAGAUUCUCAAUGCCCCAAAGAUGGAGCUUUUUGGCUUCGUUUGUAUGGACAUCAAGAGGUUGAAGAUGGGCGGAACUUGCUUUGAGCCGAACAGAACGGUUAGUAGCUUGAGUACUCGGAUGCAUAGUCUGAAAACAUUGGCCAUUAGUGUGAUCUUCGAUGAUGAUAGCGAGGCAGAGGUCGUAUAUGACUUGCUCAAAUGUUUCCCUUGCUUGGAAACGUUGGAUGUUCGGAUUGUUUUCUUGGAUGAUCCACAUGAUGGCGAUUCAGGGUAUUGGGAGCGGCAGGGUUCCCUUGAUUGCCUUGAUUGCCAUCUGGAAAGUGUCACAAUGAAAGGUUUUGAAGGGCAGAGCACUGACCUAGGGUUUGCCAAGUUUAUUAUUGCAAAAGCACGAGUGCUUAAGGAGAUGACUCUUCUUUGUGCGUCUACUAAUUGGAGAAGAGAAUGGGUAGAGAAUAUACAGCAGCAGUUGUGCCUUGAGAAGAGUGCCUCUCCGGCUGUGGAGGUGGUUUUAAUGAAAGAUCAAUAUCGAAUUGAUGAAUUUUCAACCUGGAAUUUAGUGAUUAAUGACUGGUAAACUAUUUUUUGUACAAAGAAUUCAUGAUCUCUUUUAGUUAAUUUAGACUUUGGUUUCCUUUCUGUCUUCAAUCAAACCUGCAAUAUUUGCUGAUAUGGUCUUUGUACGCUCGUUUCUUCCGACAACAUAUGUAAUUUUUGAGAUUUGGAUUGACCUCACACAAGAUGGUGAGGAGAGUAGUGAUAGCAUGGAGGGAUGAUGCAAGGGGAAAAAAGUUGCUUUGGCGAAGCAAACAAAAGGCCUCAGCCGGUAGAAGCACGUUAGCCACUUCUUUUUACCAUGCUUAAUGUCAGCUGCUAUUUUUCAGUUUUAUUCAUAUUAUCAUCAGUGCCUGGACUGUGAUGAAGCAUACAUAAGUGCACAUCUGUGACUUCUAAAUAUCAGAAGACUAAGAGCCAUUUUUGUAUUUGUGUAAAAAAUAAAAAGAGAGCAGCAUGGCUUUUUCUUUAAAAUCGAUGUCUUGAUUUAUCCAUAACCAUUUGAGUUGUUGGAUGAAAAAUAACUUUGUCAGUGCGCUUUAUUCUCAAUAGUCUUGUAUUACUUGGUGACACAGAGAUCAUCAAUAAUGAAUCUAUGACAAUGUAUUCUGAGA